RNAcentral lists this ribosomal RNA (466 nucleotides) under uncultured bacterium. RNAcentral describes it as "partial 16S ribosomal RNA". It matches the Rfam family "Bacterial small subunit ribosomal RNA", at positions 30 to 507 of the family's 1533-position model. The record is from RNAcentral.
CGAACGCUGGCGGCGUGCUUAACACAUGCAAGUCGAACGGAAAGGCCCUGCUUUUGUGGGGUGCUCGAGUGGCGAACGGGUGAGUAACACGUGAGUAACCUGCCCUUGACUUUGGGAUAACUUCAGGAAACUGGGGCUAAUACCGGAUAGGAGCUCCUGCUGCCUGGUGGGGGUUGGAAAGUUUCGGCGGUUGGGGAUGGACUCGCGGCUUAUCAGCUUGUUGGUGGGGUAGUGGCUUACCAAGGCUUUGACGGGUAGCCGGCCUGAGAGGGUGACCGGCCACAUUGGGACUGAGAUACGGCCCAGACUCCUACGGGAGGCAGCAGUGGGGAAUAUUGCACAAUGGGCGGAAGCCUGAUGCAGCAACGCCGCGUGCGGGAUGACGGCCUUCGGGUUGUAAACCGCUUUCGCCUGUGACGAAGCGUGAGUGACGGUAAUGGGUAAAGAAGCACCGACUAACUACGUG